RNAcentral lists this long non-coding RNA (2097 nucleotides) under Octopus vulgaris (common octopus). The record is from RNAcentral. Lineage: Eukaryota; Metazoa; Mollusca; Cephalopoda; Octopoda; Octopodidae.
AUUCUGCCAGCUCGUUGCCUUCUUAAUAAUAUGGAGACUUCUAGGGCUACUCGUGGAGACCCCGCAGAAUUACAGUUGCUGUGACCGACUACUGCAAAUGCUUAUCGUCUUCCUGCUUUGAAUAGGCCUGUUUACUCGGAAAUUUAUCGGCACAUUCACUCGAUUCAUAACCAAAUAGCCAGUACUUCCUCCUCCACUCUAAUUUUCCUUUUCAAGCGAAAUUUGACUAAGUUGAUGAGGGCUUGGACAAAGGGGCAGGUAUCUCUAUUCAGUCCUUUCAAUCUGGUUGACCACACUACCUCUUUCGCUAAGGCCACCGACAGAUAAAUACUGCCUGUCCUUCCUGGCCAAAGGAAGACGGCGAAACGAUCUUCACAGUGGACUUAGCCGAUAGUCGGUUUCGUCCUACAUGCAACCCACAAGUCAGCAAUGUUCGAGCACUAGACUAGUGCACACAGAACGUCGUUCUUAAGCGUAACAUGGGCAGACCCGACUGAACCCAGACAUAAACUCCGAUAGCACCGCCUGGCAGAGAUUUUUGUAAUUCAUGGACCCCGGCCUAAAAGUCCACUGACCAUUCUAGUCGACGCCCAGAAUUUUCUCCGAGAAUAUCAUUGCUCUUGCCCGUCAUUCAACGCCGAAGUGGAACUUCACCGACCGCAUUGCCCAACUAGAGAUAAUAGUAAUAAUCCUUUCUACUAAGGCAUAAGGUCUGAAAUUUGGUGGGGAGGGGACUAAUCGUCUUAGUGUUUCACUGGUACUUAAUUUAUCGGCCCCGAAAGGAUGUUGUGAUUUGUUUUUACGACACAGACUAUAAAAAAAAAAAUCCCCUCCCCACCUCAAAAAACCUCUCACGAAUUCAUUCAAAGCCAAUAAACAAAUACAUCAUUUCAGCUAAUAACGUGAAUGAAAAAGCCAAGGAUUUACUAUGGAAAAGUGUAUAAUUUCCGUACAUGUAAAGUAGUUUUAAUGGUCGAGUAUUAGUCUCUGAAUAAAGAGACUAGGAAUGUAGCUUCGCGUUUAUUUUAUGGCUUAGGUGGUCAGUAAAUCGGUUGUUGUUGUUGUGUUUGAGGUCAGAGGUCAGGUGCGCACGCAUAUUAUAUGUAUUCAUAUAUAUAUCUGUAUAUAUUUACAUUUACAUAGCCAUACAUACAUAAAUAUAUAUAUAUAUAUACACACACACACGCACACAUACAUAUCCAUCCAUAUAUAUACUUGAUGCUAAACUGUUGAUUGUAGUUCCUUGUCACCUAGCCAGCAUUUUGCGAAGUCGUUCAUUUCAAUUUAAAUCUUUCAUCUCCAUCGUAGGUUUUCACGCACGAAAUAGUUUUUUUUAGAAUGAAUUUCGUCAUUCCUACUUGCCAAUUAUUAUUAUUUCAAUUCUAAAAACCAAGAAAACGUACCACCCCUCUCUCUCUGCUCUACUCUUCAUUUAUUCAAAAUAAGAAAAUACCAAUAAUGUUAAAAUUCCGAAGUACUACUGACGCGAAAUUGAAGAAGAUUAAAAGAAUGAGAUUUGACUUGUAUAACUUCGUAAGUUUUAUUAUUGUUGUAAAUUAUUACUUUGUACAUUUAUCUGUGUCUGUGUGUACAUAUAUAUAUACAUAUACACGUGUGUGUAUAUAUGUGUACAUAUAUACAUAAGCACGUGUGUGUACAUAGACAUAAGCACUUGUGUAUAUAUACAUAUACACAUGUAUAUAUAUAUAUGUGUGUGUGUGUGUGUACGUAUAUAUACGUGUGUGUAUAUAUUUAUAUCAGUAAACAGUUGUUGAAUGUCAAAUAUAUUUGUGUUGGUAUACACGCAAAUGUAUUUAUACAAUCACAUUUCUGUGUUUAUAUACACGUGUUUACACUCGCGCGCACACAUACACACACUCUACUGUUUAUAUAAAUGCACACUUGUUAUUGUCUCCAUGCAGAGGCGGACUGAGCUGUAUGUCAAUCUUGCACUGCCCGAGGGCCCAGGGCUCUGAGGGGUUCGCAUCCACAUGUUAACUCUCUUUGAUAUCAAUGCUAAGGGGGCCCCCGAUGAACAGUUUAUGCUCGAGGGCUCGUGAUACUCUCCACGUGCCAUCAAAGUUUACAACGCUAAUU